Molecule: ribosomal RNA, 565 nt
Filed under: Micromonas polaris
Lineage: Eukaryota; Viridiplantae; Chlorophyta; Mamiellophyceae; Mamiellales; Mamiellaceae
Description: SSU rRNA
Rfam family: Eukaryotic small subunit ribosomal RNA
Source: RNAcentral
GCUCGUAGUUGGAUUUCGGUUGAGAACGGCCGGUCCGCCGUUUGGUGUGCACUGGCUGGUCUCAACUUCCUGUAGAGGACGCGCUCUGGGUUAACGCUCGGACGCGGAGUCUACGUGGUUACUUUGAAAAAAUUAGAGUGUUCAAAGCGGGCUUACGCUUGAAUAUUUCAGCAUGGAAUAACACUAUAGGACUCCUGUCCUAUUUCGUUGGUCUCGGGACGGGAGUAAUGAUUAAGAGGAACAGUUGGGGGCAUUCGUAUUUCAUUGUCAGAGGUGAAAUUCUUGGAUUUAUGAAAGACGAACUUCUGCGAAAGCAUUUGCCAAGGAUGUUUUCAUUAAUCAAGAACGAAAGUUGGGGGCUCGAAGAUGAUUAGAUACCAUCCUAGUCUCAACCAUAAACGAUGCCGACUAGGGAUUGCAGGAUGUUAAUUGAUGACUCCUGCAGCACCUUAUGAGAAAUCAAAGUUUUUGGGUUCCGGGGGGGAGUAUGGUCGCAAGGCUGAAACUUAAAGGAAUUGACGGAAGGGCACCACCAGGCGUGGAGCCUGCGGCUUAAUUUGACUCA